CAAGUUUUCAGGCAGCAAAUUGAGGACUUGAAAGAAAAGGUAAAUUCCCUGAAGGAAAAAUAUGAUCACCUGAAGGUUCUUACCCUUUCAGUUUUGCCAAAUAUGAAAUAGGGUUAGGAUUAAUUAACUUGGAAAUACCAGAAUAUAAACUAAAACUUAGCCCAUUUAUCUUCUAUUUUUCAAUCACACAUUUCAUGGAACCCUUACUUUUAUCAACCGUCAACCUCACAUUUCCUCGAAUUUUAACAAAAACUUUUAUCAAAAUAACGGUUGAUCUGCUGUUUGUCAAUUAAGAUUUUUUUUUUUCCCCCGAAGACCUAUUCAAGUGUGUACGAAAAAAAUUGUAGUUCGUUUCAAAUUCAUUGGGAAUAAGGUUUACUAUUUUGUCGUAUACAUAUGCAUGUUGGCAUACAUGAGCACGAGUCGUGUAACAGAUUACCAGCUUCAGUAAAUGCUCAUACAAAACCUUUCCCAUCUUAUCAAAUGCAGGGAAAAGUCCUAGCAGUUGAAAAUGCAUUGCUGUGUAAGAAGGUGAAUCUCACCAUUUUCUGUGUAUAUUUUCUAGUUCAUUCUUUCUUAUUGUUUUCAUUAUUAUAUGAUUAUGUAAUUAUUAUAAAUCGAUUCGUUCUGUUAAAAUUUUGAGACAUUGAUUUGAGGUUUUGAUGGUUUAGUUUGGACUUGAACCACCACAAGGAUCAAAUGAAGAGAAAGCAACUGCAGCAUGUACAGAGAAUAGUGAAGUUUCAGAUGUUGAGACUGAAUUGUUCAUUGGACCUCCAGAAACCAGAAAUAAGCGUAAUUCUCUACAGAAAUGAUAAGACGAUUCAAAUGUUAAAAAGUAAAUUUUUACGAAUCGAUAGAAACGAUCGCUUGUUUGAUAAGAUGGGUUAUUGAGCACGAGAUGGUAUUAGAGGAAGGGGGGGAAAAUGAAGUGAAGUUGAUAUCUCAAGCAGUACUCAGUACCAUGCAUGUCUUUACAAUCUUUGUAAGUAAUUUCUAUUUUUAUUUCGCAUUGGAACAAUACUUGUACUAAAUAUUGCUGAACUUCCAAAAAAUUUUAUCUUAUGAGAGUAUCUCAUAAUUUCAAGUUGUCAUUUAGAUACUUAAAGACUCGUUCGAUAUGACUUUGCAAACUUGAAAGCUGAUAAUUAUGAGAUUAAGAAACUGUUUUAGAACAUGUUUAGAUAAUUUUUAGAAACUGCAUUGCCUGGCUCGAAGAGCUUUGUUUGGGAGAAUUACGGGAAAAUUGCAAUAUUGGUUCUCAACAGAAUCAUUAUAGAGAUUAUCAAUUCUUAUUAUGUUCGAUACGCUACAUUUUAGUUGUUUGUUGAUCGUCUUGAUCAGUUCAAUGUGUAAUCAAAACCUUUACAACAUAUCUGGUAGGAACGACUAGAAAGAAAAGAAUUCGAGACCUCAACCCUUAGUUGAGUCUAAUACUGCAUACAAAUUGUGCACUCUCGCAUAUCUAAUAAGGGAUAUUGAUUUUGUUCAUCAUUUUUGAUAUAGUUCUCUUGAUUUUACAAGGUGUGUGAGAAUGGUGAGAGGAAAAACUCAGAUGAGGCGUAUAGAAAACGCCACCAGCAGGCAGGUCACCUUUUCCAAGAGAAGAAAUGGGCUGCUGAAAAAAGCUUUUGAGCUUUCAGUUCUUUGUGAUGCUGAGGUUGCACUGAUUAUCUUUUCUCCCAGAGGCAAGCUCUAUGAAUUUUCCAGUUCAAGGUAAGAUCUAUGUGUUUUCGGUAAUUGAAUUUACUUAUAUUUUUAUCAAGAAAAUGCUAUUUUUCAUGCUGCUUGGAUUAAUGAUUCAGAUUUUUUGUGGGUUUUAUGAAAUGACCAAACUAGUAUUAAUCUGAAUCAGAUCUUACAGUUUUUAUCACCUAAAAAUGCCGCGUAGGGCUUCUGUCUGAUCAUGAUGAAAUUUUCUUUGUUGUUCGCUGUUAGGGUUACGACCAAACGGAAAAAUUUCCCAUGGAACAAAGAUCUUCAGAAAUGAACCAGCUUUCUCCCUAUUUGUUAAGAUAAUAAAUUCAAGUCCUUAUGCCACUUAUGAACAAUUUUGCUGCUGACUUAAGAACCCUAUUAAAAUUUUACAAUUUUGAUUGAGAUUCCAUUAAUUAAACCAAAAUUGAGGGAAGUACUACUGUUGGUUUCUUUUGGGUUUUGUUUAAUAGGAGGAAAUGAUUAGUAUUUAGCAUACUUAGAGUUAGUUUCUGCCUCUUAUCAUAAGAUUAACAUAAAAUAGUUGCUUAUAUAAUAGCAACUUAUAUGAUGUUAUUAAUUAAUUAACCCUUUGUUCGAAGUAAAUUUGAAAAUUUGAAGCCGGUUACGUUGAUAUUUAUAACACACUGCUAUAUCACUUUGAUCGCUAGAUCUACUUCUAUCUUUUAGUUUGACUUUUAAUACAAGGCAAAAGUAUGGGAUAUAAUCUUAUUACUAUGUUCAGAAUCUCAGUGUACUUCCAAGAAAACUACAGAGAACAAUCAACUAUUUUAGUGUACUUAUACGAGUCAUUUCAUGUGAUUUUUGGCCCUUUUUUUUUUUUUCAAUCCAUAAGAAAUAAUUGAAUUUGGACUCCUUGAAAUCUCAUGCCCCAUAUCUCAUAAGAUUAUGCUUAGCUUAUGAUUCCACUAGCCACAGCAGCAGCCAGUCGUAUUCUAAUUUUUUUUUUUUUUUUAAUGGUACAUUAAUACUCAUUUUUCGCGGUUUGCCUUAAUAAAUUACCAAACCAUGAUAGUUUUGAUCGACCCUUUCCUUUUUGGACUCAUUUUAGCGCAACACGUAAAAUCUUUAUUAUGAUUCCCCUUGGUGCUUAUUAAUAAAGUUAAAGAAGAAAAUUUGUACGCUUACGUUAAAAAAACAUGUGGAAUAGUAAGUUUAAAGUUGAACUGUAUUAAGUAUGGAAGCCAAUUGGAUUAUUGUACUUGAUUUUGAAUUAACUGUAUUUGUUCAAGAGACCAUGCUGCUCCCUAUAUGAUGCCUAAAGAUUCUUUUCUGCAAAAAUAUUGGUACGAUUUUCAUCUAUAUUAAUGCUGCAGAUCCCAACUCACAUAUAAACUCAAAAUUAUUUUAGUGAAGGAAUUAAAGAAUAUCCCAUUAAAAAAUCCCUAUUAUUUCCUUUUCUUUAUCAACUUAUUAAGUUGUAAUAAACAAGGACUUAAUCCCAUCCAAAUAUGUUCUGUAGUUGCUCUCGUUUUUUUCACGUGAAAAACGAAAAGAUAGAACUCCUCUUUGGUGUUUAGAGUUCAGUUUACUCUUAUUUAAACCCGUCUAUUAGUUGCCAACUAGAAAAAUUGGAUUUGAGAUCACCAUGUAUUCUUAAUCGUGUUGUUUAUUUCCUAUUUCACUGCAUCACUAAUUCAAUUUACUCGUCUAAUCCCGUCCAUAUAUAUUUCAACUUGAAAAAUGUAAAGAAUAAAGAUAGAACCCUUCCUCUGUCUAUAAUUUAUUUUACUCUAACCUAAUCCCUUCCAUCAUUUCAACUUGAAAAAUAAAAGAUGACAAAUCAAUCCCUACUUAGUGUCUACAAUUCAAUUUACUCUUACUAAUACCGUUCAAAUGAGCUUGCAUUCAGUUUCAUUUUCAACUUGAAAAACGAAAAGAUAACCGGUAUCUAGAAGUAGUUUUACUCCUAUUAUCAUACUUUCACACAUACACCUUAGUGGGACACGGAAAUUUUUUAUUAAAUCGGUCAGUCUAAAAAUCCUUUGUAAAAAUGUCCCUAACUUGAGAGACUUGUAGGAUUUGACAACUUCUCCUUCUUGAUCAGAUGUCUAAGAAAAUAAGCUUAAUUCUUAUCUUUGCUUCUUCCAUGAAAAUGGGUAUUCUUAGGUGGAGUUGUUACUAAGUUAUUAACACAAAACAAAAUAGUCUCUUUCUCUUGAGGACGCUUCAAAUCCUUAAAUACCCUUCUCAACCAUGACCGAAAAAUAUAAUCAACUUCUAUAAUUGAGAUAGCUAUUAUAGGUUGCUUAUUCCAUGUCGAUGACACUAUCCAUGAGCCAAUGUUAAUAGCAUAUGCUGAAUUGUUUUUAUGAUCAUAACGUUACCAACCAAAUUGCUAUCAGUAUGACCUACCAACCAUAGUUAUAUCCUAAUCUUGUUGAGAAGUUCAUGAUCUAGUUUUUCUCACACGCGUUUGAGAACUUUCUUUCCAUCUUACCAAUCGUUUUGUUUUGGUGCUGCAAACAUGAGGUUUGGCCUUGUUGUGCUUUAGUGCAUAAGACUCCUCCCAUGGCCCGUGCUUAGUGUAGCUAAAAAUCAUAUUAUUAUUAGAUUUUGAUAAAAGUCGAUGAAAUGUUAGGUUGAAAAGUUGAUAAAAAUUGUGGGUUUCAUUUAAUAUGUAAUCCACAUCCGUUUUCUCAACUCUUUUAUUAUUGAUGCCUUGAAUUUAUCGCACAUCACAUUGUUGUUAGUUAUGAAAGUGAGAACAUGAACAAUCAACAAAUUUUUAAAAUACUAUUGUCUUCAUCUUCCUUCUUCGAGACUGCAUGUUCAUAGAGAAUACACUCUUUAAGACAAGUCAACUUUACAAGUCACUUGGAGCUUGCUUCAAUUUUUACAAUGCUUUCUUCCAUGGAAAAUCUUGUAUUCUUCUCCUUCCUUUUCAUCACCGAAGGGUUGCUUCACAUAAUUUUUUUCCUCUAUAAAGCCAUUUAAAGAUAUUGACUUCACAUCGAUUUGAUGGACUUUGCAUUCUCUUUGAGUUGUUAUGGCAUUAAGUCCCUGUUUGGCCCCCAUUUUGUAAAUUCAUUUUCUCCUAGAGCUCAAUUUCAAUUAUAUAUUUAAUGGGAUCUACAACUUUUAUCUACUUUUCAAAUACAUAUUUCAUCAAUUUUUAUCAAAAUUUAUUAAAAUAUGUUUUUAGCUAAACAAAACAUGGGCUAAGUAAUUGGACUGUGUCAAUCUAACACCUCCAAGUCAAUCUCUUGUUUAAGAUUUCUAUGCUUUUACAACUAUGCUUGCUUUGUUAGCAUCAACUUCUCUUUCGAAUUCUAUAUUUUCUGCACACCAAUUUCACAACAGGCUUCUUAUCAUUUGAAAGUUAUGUCCUAUUUCCUUGGAUUGCAUCAAUCUGUUGAUUGGCAUUUUUUCCCUUUCCAUCUUAGGCGGUUUUCUCAAUUUUAUUGGUUUUUUGUCAACGAGAAAUAUAAAAUCUCUUGAAAGUUUUUUUUAUCUUUCAAAGUGGUUAAUCAUCACGAUUUGAACUUGAUAAAUUUUAAGAAUUAUAAGAGUUGCCGUUGCUUGCUCAACAUUUGGACUUCUUUUCUACUUCGAUUUCUAGAGCUUUUGCUUCUUCAUCCCAUUUUCAUGCUUCUUCUUCAUUAAAUUUUACAUAUCGACUAAUGAUGAUCUUGCUGUGGAUAAUGGGUGCAGAGAAAUUCAUUGAAGUCUUUAUUUUUUUGCUUAUUAAUAAGAAAAGUUCGCUGAUUAUUUUCAUUGAACGUGAAACUUGUUCAGCACACGGGAGACAAUAGAACGUUACCAAAGGAAUACUAAAGAUAAUCACACUGAAAACCCUUCGGAUGAACAAAAUAUGCAGGUUAUCUUCAUUUAAUUUUGUCAAAUACUUUUACAGGAUAGCAAGUUUUUUGCUACGUACCUUAUUAUCAAUCUAAUUAACUAUAGACAAAACUUGAAUGGUUUUUGUCACUGUAUUUAUUUGGAACUGCAGCAGUUAAAGCAAGAGACAGCAAGUAUGAAGAAGAAGAUAGAGCUUCUUGAAAUCUCUAGACGGUUCGUACAACCUGAUUUUUAACACUUAUUGCUUGGGAAAUUUUUUUCUAAAAAGCAUGUUUGGCUAAGCUUAAUUAAAAAAUGUAAAUUAAUUUUUCCAAAGUAAAAAAUGAGUAAUGUCGUAAAAAGUGAGAUUUUUGUACUGAAAAUUCGAAAUAACGAACUAGCAAAUGCUGGGCUAAGCUUUAAAUAAUUGAACUUAGAUCACAAGUUAAGAUUACAGUCAAAAGAGUAAUAAUGCUGAAUUGUUUUUAUGAUCAUAACGUUACCAACCAAAUUGCUAUCAGUAUGACCUACCAACCAUAGUUAUAUCCUAAUCUUGUUGAGAAGUUCAUGAUCUAGUUUUUCUCACACGUGUUUGAGAACUUUCUUUCCAUCUUACCAAUCGUUUUGUUUUGGUGCUGCAAACAUGAGGUUUGGCCUUGUUGUGCUUUAGUGCAUAAGACUCCUCCCAUGGCCCGUGCUUAGUGUAGCUAAAAAUCAUAUUAUUAUUAGAUUUUGAUAAAAGUCGAUGAAAUGUUAGGUUGAAAAGUUGAUAAAAAUUGUGGGUUUCAUUUAAUAUGUAAUCCACAUCCGUUUUCUCAACUCUUUUAUUAUUGAUGCCUUGAAUUUAUCGCACAUCACAUUGUUGUUAGUUAUGAAAGUGAGAACAUGAACAAUCAACAAAUUUUUAAAAUACUAUUGUCUUCAUCUUCCUUCUUCGAGACUGCAUGUUCAUAGAGAAUACACUCUUUAAGACAAGUCAACUUUACAAGUCACUUGGAGCUUGCUUCAAUUUUUACAAUGCUUUCUUCCAUGGAAAAUCUUGUAUUCUUCUCCUUCCUUUUCAUCACCGAAGGGUUGCUUCACAUAAUUUUUUUCCUCUAUAAAGCCAUUUAAAGAUAUUGACUUCACAUCGAUUUGAUGGACUUUACAUUCUCUUUGAGUUGUUAUGGCAUUAAGUCCCUGUUUGGCCCCCAUUUUGUAAAUUCAUUUUCUCCUAGAGCUCAAUUUCAUAAAUUUCGUCAAUGAUCUGAUUAUUUUCUUUGUUUUUGAAGAUGCAAGUUUUCAGGCAGCAAAUUGAGGACUUGAAAGAAAAGGUAAAUUCCCUGAAGGAAAAAUAUGAUCACCUGAAGGUUCUUACCCUUUCAGUUUUGCCAAAUAUGAAAUAGGGUUAGGAUUAAUUAACUUGGAAAUACCAGAAUAUAAACUAAAACUUAGCCCAUUUAUCUUCUAUUUUUCAAUCACACAUUUCAUGGAACCCUUACUUUUAUCAACCGUCAACCUCACAUUUCCUCGAAUUUUAACAAAAACUUUUAUCAAAAUAACGGUUGAUCUGCUGUUUGUCAAUUAAGAUUUUUUUUUUUCCCCCGAAGACCUAUUCAAGUGUGUACGAAAAAAAUUGUAGUUCGUUUCAAAUUCAUUGGGAAUAAGGUUUACUAUUUUGUCGUAUACAUAUGCAUGUUGGCAUACAUGAGCACGAGUCGUGUAACAGAUUACCAGCUUCAGUAAAUGCUCAUACAAAACCUUUCCCAUCUUAUCA
This 7252-nucleotide long non-coding RNA is filed under the name Olea europaea (common olive). Its description in RNAcentral is "long non-coding RNA (OEUR_LNC010954)". Lineage: Eukaryota; Viridiplantae; Streptophyta; Magnoliopsida; Lamiales; Oleaceae. The record is from RNAcentral.